GACGAACGCUGGCGGCGUGCUUAACACAUGCAAGUCGAGCGGUAAGGCCCUUUCGGGGGUACGACGAGCGGCGAACGGGUGAGUAACACGUGGGUGACCUGCCCUCAGCUCUGGGAUAAGCCUGGGAAACCGGGUCUAAUACUGGAUAUGACUCCAUGACGCAUGUUGUGGGGUGGAAAGCCUUGUGCGGCUGAGGAUGGGCCCGCGGCCUAUCAGCUUGUUGGUGGGGUGANGGCCUACCAAGGCGACGACGGGUAGCCGGCCUGAGAGGGCGACCGGCCACACUGGGACUGAGACACGGCCCAGACUCCUACGGGAGGCAGCAGUGGGGAAUCUUGCGCAAUGGGCGAAAGCCUGACGCAGCGACGCCGCGUGAGGGAUGACGGCC
Molecule: ribosomal RNA, 388 nt
Filed under: uncultured bacterium
Lineage: Bacteria
Description: bacterial SSU rRNA
Rfam family: Bacterial small subunit ribosomal RNA
Source: RNAcentral